This 253-nucleotide ribosomal RNA is filed under the name uncultured bacterium. RNAcentral describes it as "partial 16S ribosomal RNA". It matches the Rfam family "Bacterial small subunit ribosomal RNA", at positions 524 to 776 of the family's 1533-position model. The record is from RNAcentral.
UACGGGGGGAGCAAGCGUUGUUCGGAUUUACUGGGCGUAAAGGGCGCGUAGGCGGCGUGACAAGUCACUUGUGAAAUCUCCGGGCUUAACUCGGAACGGUCAAGUGAUACUGUCGUGCUAGAGUGCGGAAGGGGCAACUGGAAUUCUUGGUGUAGCGGUGAAAUGCGUAGAUAUCAAGAGGAACACCUGCGGCGAAGGCGGGUUGCUGGGCCGACACUGACGCUGAGGCGCGAAAGCCAGGGGAGCGAACGGG